Molecule: ribosomal RNA, 491 nt
Filed under: uncultured bacterium
Lineage: Bacteria
Description: partial 16S ribosomal RNA
Rfam family: Bacterial small subunit ribosomal RNA
Source: RNAcentral
AGUGAACGCUGGCGGUAGGCCUAACACAUGCAAGUCGAACGGCAGCACAGUAAGAGCUUGCUCUUACGGGUGGCGAGUGGCGGACGGGUGAGGAAUACAUCGGAAUCUACUUUUUCGUGGGGGAUAACGUAGGGAAACUUACGCUAAUACCGCAUACGACCUACGGGUGAAAGCAGGGGAUCUUCGGACCUUGCGCGAUUGAAUGAGCCGAUGUCGGAUUAGCUAGUUGGCGGGGUAAAGGCCCACCAAGGCGACGAUCCGUAGCUGGUCUGAGAGGAUGAUCAGCCACACUGGGACUGAGACACGGUCCAGACUCCUACGGGAGGCAGCAGUGGGGAAUAUUGGACAAGGGGCGCAAGCCUGAUCCAGCCAUACCGCGUGGGUGAAGAAGGCCUUCGGGUGGUAAAGCCCUUUUGUUGGGAAAGAAAAGCAGCAGGUUAAUACCCCGCUGUUCUGACGGUACCCAAAGAAUAAGCACCGGCUAACUUCGU